GAUGAACGCUGGCGGCGUGCUUAACACAUGCAAGUCGAACGAAGCAUUUAAGACAGAUUACUUCGGUUUGAAGUCUUUUAUGACUGAGUGGCGGACGGGUGAGUAACGCGUGGGUAACCUGCCUCAUGCAGGGGGAUAGCAGCUGGAAACGGCUGGUAAUACCGCAUAAGCGCACGGUAUCGCAUGAUACAGUGUGAAAAACUCCGGUGGUAUGAGAUGGACCCGCGUCUGAUUAGCUGGUUGGUGAGGUAACGGCCCACCAAGGCGACGAUCAGUAGCCGACCUGAGAGGGUGACCGGCCACAUUGGGACUGAGACACGGCCCAGACUCCUACGGGGAGGCAGCAGUGGGGAAUAUUGCACAAUGGGGGAAACCCUGAUGCAGCGACGCGCGUGAAGGAGAAGUAUUUCGGUAUGUAAAGCUCUGUCAGCAGGGAAGAUAAUGACGGUACCUGACCAAAGGAAGCCCCCGGCUAACUACGUGCC
Molecule: ribosomal RNA, 485 nt
Filed under: uncultured bacterium
Lineage: Bacteria
Description: bacterial SSU rRNA
Rfam family: Bacterial small subunit ribosomal RNA
Source: RNAcentral